UACGGAGGGGGCUAGCGUUGUUCGGAAUUACUGGGCGUAAAGCGCACGUAGGCGGUUUUGCAAGUCAGAGGUGAAAGCCCGGAGCUCAACUCCGGAAUUGCCUUUGAGACUGCAUCACUUGAACGUCGGAGAGGUGAGUGGAAUUCCGAGUGUAGAGGUGAAAUUCGUAGAUAUUCGGAAGAACACCAGUGGCGAAGGCGGCUCACUGGACGACUGUUGACGCUGAGGUGCGAAAGCGUGGGGAGCAAACAGG
Molecule: ribosomal RNA, 253 nt
Filed under: uncultured bacterium
Lineage: Bacteria
Also listed under: 1 other name
Description: partial 16S ribosomal RNA
Rfam family: Bacterial small subunit ribosomal RNA
Source: RNAcentral